UGGGCAACCUGCCCCAGACUCAGGGAUAACCCCGGGAAACCGGGGCUAAUACCCGAUACUCCGAUCGAACCACAUGGCUCGAUCGGGAAAGCUCCGACGGUCUGGGAUGGGCCCGCGGCCUAUCAGCUUGUUGGUGGGGUAAUGGCCUACCAAGGCGACGACGGGUAGCCGGCCUGAGAGGGCGACCGGCCACACUGGGACUGAGAUACGGCCCAGACUCUUACGGGAG
This 229-nucleotide ribosomal RNA is filed under the name uncultured bacterium. RNAcentral describes it as "partial 16S ribosomal RNA". It matches the Rfam family "Bacterial small subunit ribosomal RNA", at positions 118 to 347 of the family's 1533-position model. The record is from RNAcentral.